UACGGGGGGGGCAAGCGUUGUUCGGAAUUACUGGGCGUAAAGGGCUCGUAGGCGGCCAACUAAGUCAGACGUGAAAUCCCUCGGCUUAACCGGGGAACUGCGUCUGAUACUGGAUGGCUUGAGUUUGGGAGAGGGAUGCGGAAUUCCAGGUGUAGCGGUGAAAUGCGUAGAUAUCUGGAGGAACACCGGUGGCGAAGGCGGCAUCCUGGACCAACACUGACGCUGAGGAGCGAAAGCCAGGGGAGCGAACGGG
RNAcentral lists this ribosomal RNA (253 nucleotides) under uncultured bacterium. RNAcentral describes it as "partial 16S ribosomal RNA". It matches the Rfam family "Bacterial small subunit ribosomal RNA", at positions 524 to 776 of the family's 1533-position model. The record is from RNAcentral.